Molecule: transfer RNA, 80 nt
Filed under: Rhizoctonia solani AG-1 IA
Lineage: Eukaryota; Fungi; Basidiomycota; Agaricomycetes; Cantharellales; Ceratobasidiaceae
Also listed under: 2 other names
Description: tRNA-Leu (AAG) (tRNA-Leu-AAG-1 1 to 5)
Rfam family: tRNA
About the family: Transfer RNA (tRNA) molecules are approximately 80 nucleotides in length. Their secondary structure includes four short double-helical elements and three loops (D, anti-codon, and T loops).
Source: RNAcentral
GGCGAGGUAGCCAAGCGGUCUAAGGCGCUAGACUAAGGAUCUAGUUCUUCGGAGCGUGGGUUCGAAUCCCACCCUCGUCA